RNAcentral lists this unclassified non-coding RNA (351 nucleotides) under soil metagenome. RNAcentral describes it as "partial contains 5.8S ribosomal RNA, internal transcribed spacer 2, and large subunit ribosomal RNA". The stretch from base 1 to 120 matches the Rfam family "5.8S ribosomal RNA", at positions 35 to 154 of the family's 154-position model. The record is from RNAcentral.
GAUGAAGAACGCAGCGAAAUGCGAUACGUAGUGUGAAUUGCAGAAUUCAGUGAAUCAUCGAAUCUUUGAACGCACAUUGCGCCCUUUGGUAUUCCAAAGGGCAUGCCUGUUCGAGCGUCAUUUGUACCUUCAAGCUUUGCUUGGUGUUGGGCGUUUUUUGUCUCCCUCUUUCUGGGAGACUCGCCUUAAAACGAUUGGCAGCCGGCCUACUGGUUUCGGAGCGCAGCACAUAUUUUGCGCUUUGUAUCAGGAGAAAAGGACGGUAAUCCAUCAAGACUUCUACAUUUUUAACUUUUGACCUCGGAUCAGGUAGGGAUACCCGCUGAACUUAAGCAUAUCAAAAGCGGAGGA